RNAcentral lists this ribosomal RNA (343 nucleotides) under uncultured bacterium. Its description in RNAcentral is "bacterial SSU rRNA". It matches the Rfam family "Bacterial small subunit ribosomal RNA", at positions 458 to 793 of the family's 1533-position model. The record is from RNAcentral.
UAGCAUAUCAUUUGACGUUAGCUGCAGAAGAAGCACCGGCUAACUCCGUGCCAGCAGGCCGCGGUAAUACGGGAGGGUGACGAGCGUUAAUCGGAAUUACGUGGGACGUAAAGCGCAUGCAGGUGGUUUGUUAAGUCAGAUGUGAAAGCCCGGGGCUACAACCUACGGAAUUGCUAUUUAGAACUGGCAACUAGAGUACUGUAGAGGGGGUAGAAUUUCAGGUGUAGCGGUGAAAUGCGUAGAGAUCUGAAGGAAUACCGGUGGCGAAGGCGGCCCCCUCGGACAGAUACUGACACUCAGAUGCGAAAGCGUGGGGAGCAAACAGGAUUAGAUACCCUGGUAG